UCUUGAUGGUAAUUGUUUAUAAAUUUCUAGCUAAAUCUCACCCUUUGCUUAACUCCCAGCAACCUGUAGCUUUUUCGUGUUAAGUUUGAAUCCUAGUCUGGGGGUAUAUAUUUCAUGUUAGUCAUGAGGGAGAAAACAGAAGGAAAUUUAGAGAGGGAAGUCAUAAACAUAAAAAAGAGGAGACAGAGGGUUCUGAUUUCUUUUUUUCUAUAGUUCUCUCUUGCUGUGAUACUGCUUAAGGCCUGAUAGAUUGUUUGUCGAGUGGGAAGAAAGUGAAAUUUCUUCCAGCGAAAGUUUGGGUUUGAAUUUUUGAUCUGCCCAAUGACAUCGAAGGUCGAUUUUGGUGUUGAAGUUGUCAUCACUCCGCUGCUCGUCUUAUCCCAGUCCAGCUGCCCGAAAGAAGGAUUGUUGUCUUAUUGAUGGUGAAAGUCUGGAAUCUGCCGGAUCCCAAUUACGUUUUUUAGUGGCCUGGUAUUACUGGAAUUGUUUGUGUCGGUUAAAAUCCCUUCGCGAUUUGCUUACUUUUAUCACAAUAUGCCAGCCUAAAGUAUGGUAGUCUGUAGCUUUAUUUCACUUGUCAUUUUCUGAUGUUUGAUUACGUCUGUUACUCAUCGUUUUUUUAUUUUGUUUUAAUUGCACAAGCAAAAUUCGUUUGGGCCCUCUUGGACUCCUUUUGGUCCCUGCAUCUCAAUAAAGAGUCACAAAGACUGAAAAUUUCUUCAUUGACUCAGCCAACCGGAAAAGGCGUACAGGUCCCUAAAAUCAAGAAACACAGAGUCAUUGAAGAAUUGAAGUAUUGUAGCCAAAAGCUUAUAUUUUGUAUUUAUUUUAUGUCGUAUUUUGUUGGUUUUAGGCUUAAGGCCCAUUUAAGUUUCAUUUAUUUUUAUUUUGUUAGUUUAGGAUCGGUACAAUUGAAGUGGGUCAAAAAUCCACAACAAAAUGGGUCCAAAUAACGGUCCAGGCGGACAGAUAACCCGGAUUUGGACCCAAACUCUCUCUCUCUUAUUUUUACUACUUAUCUACUUUUAUUUAUCACUAGUUUUAAGUUAGAAAACUUCAAAUCCCCAUCGAAUACCAUAAUGUUUUUGUGA
This is a long non-coding RNA of Solanum lycopersicum (tomato), 1091 nucleotides long. RefSeq lists it as uncharacterized. NCBI's taxonomy places the organism in Eukaryota, Viridiplantae, Streptophyta, Magnoliopsida, Solanales, Solanaceae. The record is from RefSeq and is a predicted model, not a curated record.